This 30-nucleotide non-coding RNA is filed under the name Cricetulus griseus (Chinese hamster). Lineage: Eukaryota; Metazoa; Chordata; Mammalia; Rodentia; Cricetidae. The record is from RNAcentral.
UAGGAGUAGCAGCUAAUACAAGUAUGGUAA